UAUUGCACAAUGGGCGAAAGCCUGAUCCACCCAUGCCGCGUGUAAAAAAAGGUUUUCGGAUUGUAAAGCACUUUAAGUUGGGGGGAAGGGCAGUUUCCUAAUACGUUAUUGUUUUGACGUUACCCACAAAAAAAGCCCCGGCUAACUCUGUCCCCGCCGCCGCGGAACACAGGGGGUGCAAGCUUUUAUCAAAAUUUCUGGGAAAAAGCGCGCGUGGGUGGUUUGAAACUCGAUGUAAAUCCCCGGGCUCCCCCUGGAACCGCAUUCAAAACUGGCUACUAAGUUUGGAAAGGGGUGGUAAUUUCCUGUGAGCGGUAAAUGCGAAAUGAAGAACACCAAGUGGCAAGGAGCCUCCUGACCAAUCUGCUCUGAGUGAGUUGA
RNAcentral lists this ribosomal RNA (381 nucleotides) under uncultured bacterium. RNAcentral describes it as "partial 16S ribosomal RNA". It matches the Rfam family "Bacterial small subunit ribosomal RNA", at positions 362 to 757 of the family's 1533-position model. The record is from RNAcentral.